AUACGGAAGGUCCAGGCGUUAUCCGGAUUUAUUGGGUUUAAAGGGAGCGCAGGCCGGUGUGUAAGCGUGACGUCAAAUACAGCCGCUCAACGGUUGUCCGCGUCGCGAACUGCACGCCUUGAGUACGCUGCAAGUGGGCGGAAUUCGUGGUGUAGCGGUGAAAUGCUUAGAUAUCACGAAGAACUCCGAUUGCGAAGGCAGCCCGCUGUUGCGUCACUGACGCUGAGGCUCGAAGGUGCGGGUAUCGAACAGGAUUAGAUACCCUGGUAGUCCGCACUGUAAACGAUGGACACCCGCUGUGUGGCCUUUUUUGGUUGCGCGGCCAAGCGAAAGCAUUAAGUGUCCCACCUGGGGAGUACGCCGGCAACGGUGAAACUUAAAGGAAUUGACGGGG
Molecule: ribosomal RNA, 394 nt
Filed under: uncultured bacterium
Lineage: Bacteria
Description: partial 16S ribosomal RNA
Rfam family: Bacterial small subunit ribosomal RNA
Source: RNAcentral